GAUGAACGCUGGCGGCGUGCCUAAUACAUGCAAGUCGAGCGAACAGACGAGGAGCUUGCUCCUUUGACGUUAGCGGCGGACGGGUGAGUAACACGUGGGUAACCUACCUAUAAGACUGGGAUAACUUCGGGAAACCGGAGCUAAUACCGGAUAAUAUUUCGAACCGCAUGGUUCGAUAGUGAAAGAUGGCUUUGCUAUCACUUAUAGAUGGACCUGCGCCGUAUUAGCUAGUUGGUAAGGUAACGGCUUACCAAGGCAACGAUAGGUAGCCGACCUGAGAGGGUGAUCGGCCACACUGGAACUGAGACACGGUCCAGACUCCUACGGGAGGCAGCAGUAGGGAAUCUUCCGCAAUGGGCGAAAGCCUGACGGAGCAACGCCGCGUGAGUGAUGAAGGUCUUCGGAUCGUAAAACUCUGUUAUUAGGGAAGAACAAACGUGUAAGUAACUGUGCACGUCUUGACGGUACCUAAUCAGAAAGCCACGGCUAACUACGUG
Molecule: ribosomal RNA, 497 nt
Filed under: uncultured bacterium
Lineage: Bacteria
Description: partial 16S ribosomal RNA
Rfam family: Bacterial small subunit ribosomal RNA
Source: RNAcentral